Astatotilapia calliptera (eastern happy) is the source of this 1173-nucleotide long non-coding RNA. NCBI's taxonomy places the organism in Eukaryota, Metazoa, Chordata, Actinopteri, Cichliformes, Cichlidae. The record is from Ensembl.
CAAACAGCGGCCCUGAGUCUGCCUCCGGCGUCGAGGAGCAGCUUCCCGGACGUGAGCCGGGCGGUGGUGGACAGGCUGGGGCUCACCGCCGAAGACCAUCGCCGGCGGUUCCGGGCCUGUCGGCUGGCUACAACGGACCGACCAUUCGCCUGGGCCCGGCAGCUGCGCGAUGCGGCGGUGCGCUGGCUGCAACCGGGAGCAUCGGAGGGCGAGACGAAGCUGGUGGACAAGGUGGUGCUGGAGCAGUUCACGGAGGGAUUGCCAGCGGAGACGGCGAGAUGGGUCCGGUGCCACCGGCCCGCAAGCCUGGAGGUAGCGGUGACGCUGGCGGAAGACCACCUUGCCGCUGGAGCAGGGGAACCCGGGGACGCCGGACGGAGGCCGAACAAACAGGCCCCAGUGCCGGCCCCGAGACGCCGUGUGCCGGCACCAGGGCAGGCAGAGCGGCUGCCGGCGCUGAGCCCCACUAACCCUUUCGCGGCGUUGGUGCCGUCCAGGGCAGCCGAGCCAAGUGGAGCCGCCCCCGAGCCACGGAGAGCAGCACAGACGCCGGGGCCGGAGUGUUGGAAGUGCGGGCAGCCGGGGCACCUGAGGAGGGAUUGUCCGCUUAUGGAAGUGGGGCAGGUGUUUCGUGUUGCUGGCGCCCCAGCACCCUCCCCCGGUCCAGGAGGGACAUACAGUAUUCCGACUGACGCCUCGGACAGAGGGCUGGGAGCCGUUUUGUCCCAGCAGGUGAGGGGGGCUGACCGCCCUGUCCUGUACAUCAGCCGGAAGCUAGCGGAGCGCGAGCGCCGGUACAGCACCGUGGAGAAGGAGUGCCUGGCCAUCCGGUGGGCGGUCGGCUCCCUGCGCUAUUACCUCCUGGGACGCUCAUUCACCCUCUGUUCGGACCACGCCCCGCUGCAGUGGCUCCACCGCAUGAAGGAUGCCAACGCCCGGAUCACCCGGUGGUAUCUGGCGUUGCAGCCCUUUAAGUUCAAGGUGAUCCAUAGGCCGGGGGCGCAGAUGGCGGUGGCCGAUUUCCUCUCUCGCUCGCGGGGGGGAGUUGGCUCGGCCGGACGGCUCCCCGGCCUCGAACGGGCGGUGGGGGUGUGUGGCGGAGGCGUGGCCCCGGGCGCAGCUGCAGGGGAGGAGUGCAGCAGAAGGCUCAACAGGGCGGCGCUGCGAGGCCGG